GAAUUGGGAUGGGCAAAGCUUGGUGGAAGGGUUGGGAGCAACAGGAUUUGGGAACGGACCAGGCACUGCAGCCCUGCUGCACACAACCAAAUCCUGCUUUUGAUACUCAUUACCCCCCUCCCUGUUUGGUUUUGGUGCUUUAUUCAUUGUAUGGGACUCACCCUGGGCCGUCACAUGGAGAAUCAGGAGUGCCAGGUCCUCCCCUCUGCGUGUGCAUGGCGUGUGAAAGGGCCAUCAUGUUGGUGCAGUGGCUUAAAGCAGAGGCAGCACCACGCAGGAACCCUUCCCUUACGUCGCUCUAGACGCCGCUCUGGUGCGGAAGCAUCUGUUCUUCCCAGGAAAAGCAUGAGUCAGAAGGGAUGAGAAGGGAUACGGCUAAAUUUGUCCCUCGGGAUGAGGAACGCAGUGCCAGGUGGGCCCAGCAGUGGCUCCUCGCUGGCACAAGAUGUUCUUAUCGAUGGCUUUUCUUUCCUUUUUGCUUUUUUAAACCUCAUUAGCAGGACUGUUAAUAUCUGUUCUGUAAUGAGAGCAGAGCCUGUACUGGCACCAUGGGACUGGCUGAAUUCAGGCUGGCUGCUCUGCGGGAGCCCAUCCCCAUGCUGUCUGGGCUGUUAAAAGACAAUGAGAUGCUUGCUCCCAUUACCCCUCUUCACCUUGGUUGUCUUUUUGGCUGAGUAUCUUUACUCCUCCCUGCGUGUGUUGGCUGGGAAGUGCAGUUUGCUCCUCUUGGAGGUGAGGGCUGGAAUCUACAGGAACAGGGAUGUCACCUCCAAUCUGGCAGCAAAAGAGGAAACUUGAUGUCAAACUCCAUUCCCAUCAGUGAUGUGGAGCUGCUGCUUCCUGGGAAAGGGCUGGAGGUGGGAGCCUGUUCGCCUUCCCAAGCAACUGGGAUGAGUGGGGGCCUCCCAGUGCCGUGUUUCCCUGUUUUUCCCUAUUUAUAUGUGCUUUGACUGGGCAGGUUUCUGCUAAGCUGGCAGUUCCUCAUCACUUGUGUUGGCAGUGGGCAUCUUGCUGGGUGACCUCGGGCCCUGUGCCAACGAGCAUCCCCAAUCCCAGGGCUGCAUCCCCAAUCCCAAGGCUCUGGCUGCCUUUUGAUGCGUGCAUGGAUGGAUAAAGGACCAUACUGGGGAGAGGGUGGGCAGGAGAAACAGGGGCCAGGCAGGCUGGUCCAGGCUGUAGAGGGGGUUGGACAUGGAAAGCAGGUGCUGUAGUGGUAGUUAAGGAUUUAUCCUGGUUGGAAUGGGGUGGGACACAUGCUAUGGAGGAGACUUUGCCCAGAUUUUUGCUUUGCCAUCAAAAAUACCAAUUUCUCUCCUAGAGGAGGCUUUUAUUCUUGUUCUCCUGAGGUUCCAGGGGACCAAGAGGGCUGCAAAGGGGGUGCCCAUCAUGCCAGGAUAAGGCAUUCCUGUGGUCUGGAAGCUCCUCUGAUUUCCACCCCUUCCCCUCGGCACUUCUAUUAUAAAACAAAAGAACUAAUUUCCAGCUGAGCCCCAGUAUCUCUUAUCUAAAGAAACGAUAUUGGUGUUUGGAACCUGCGUUGUAUAUACAAACCUGAAACAAAUAGAUAGUUACUUUCUAUUUUAGAAGGGGGGGGAAGAGGAAAUAUUUAAGUGAAUUCCUUAGAUGUAGGUGUCAGAAACCUCUGUGCAGCGGGAGAGAGGCUGGCAGAGGUGGGGAGAGUGGGAACAGCGGGAGCAGGGCGAGUAGUUUGCCAUCCUCUUGCGCUUUGGCUUCUCUGCUUCUCCAUCCACCUAUAAAUAGACAAAAAGAUAUAUAUACAAAUCUAUCUAUAUAUAUAUAUAUAAAUUCUAUAUAUCUAAGUCACAUAGCUGUUUUAUUUUUGUAUCCAUGCCUAGUGCUGUUUGAGCAAUAUGGUGGCCAAGGAGAGGAGGGUUGGGUAAGGCUGGGGGGCUCAGAGGGCUCCAUUGGCUCUGGCUGCUCUCCCAGCAUCGCUGCUGUUUGCUGUUUUGAUAGGGAAAAACAUGGAAAAGGGAGGGAAAAGGGAAAAAUCCCCGGGAUUGGGGGGAGCCUGGGCACCCCGUUUGCCGCCAGCUUGCUGGUAAGGAAGUGGUUUUCCCACUGAGGGCUGUGUCUUGCUUGGAUUUUAUUGCUUCUCCAGAUGAAUUUCAGCUCCAGGGGUGCUGUUUUCAACGGGAAGGAUGAGGCCUGUGGGGUGGCACAGGACGGGGGACACGCUGUGGGGACAGGCUCCCCACGCCACUACCUCGCUGGGUGCCAGCGGGCACCCAUCCUCGCCGCCUUGGUGUUAAUCCUGAUGGAUCCCAUGGCUUAUGGAGCUGCCUGGGUGGCCGUGGUGAGGUCCCCUUAGGUCCCCGUGCCUGGCUGGAGCAGGGCACCUUCUCUGUAGGCACGUCAAUACCUCUAUAACAAACACAAGAUCUCCAAGCAUCAGGGUUUUACUGGUGCCGUGCAGGCUGCUGGUACCCGGGGAGGGAUGCGAAGCUUCAUUCCCAGUGUGUGGAAUGGCAUGGAGCCCUGGCUUGGUGGGCAGCAGGCACCAUGGAGAAGGUGCUGGGGUGCUCAGGGCCUUUCCUGCAAAGCAGUAUGGACCCGCUAUCCCCUUUCCCUGUGUGGUGAGGGGAAGAAGAGCCAGUUUUGGGACCGAGCAAUGCCAAGGAGUGGCAAACCAUCCCCUCUGCCUCCUUUAGGGCAGGAUUUGGGGAUUGCCUUUGGGCAGCGGUGCUUCUGCUCCCCUCCAGCUUGGUCCCAUGGUCCUUACCACUAUGGGGUGGGGGGGACCCAGAUGUUUUUGGGGCUCAGAUGUCUCUGCAUGGAGAUGGGAUGGCGGGGCAGACCCUGGGUACUUCAUGCCUCUGGGACCAGGCAGAGGACCCUCACUGUUGUCAUGGGCUGAGACACGAAUGUAAUGCCCAGGAGCUGGUCCCCUCAUGUCCUCCGUAGGUGUCACCUGUAUUUUCCAUGAUAUUUCUGUCUUCUUUGUCGGGAUCGGGAUGGGGAGGGUGGGGGGGAGGGGGGUGGGGGGGGGGUUGGUGGUAUAUUUCUAAUAUCAAGCCAAGAGUUGUUCAGCACCAAUUCUUGAUAUCGAAGCAAAAGCAUGUUUGGUGGGACUAACUUGCAUUUAUUAGAGGUAAAUACAUAAGUAAGUAUUUUCUAUGUUAAAACAAGGCAAAGGAUGGGAGGAGGAAGAGGAGGAAUGAGACUUCUCACUGGUUCGAGGGGCUGCGUUGCCUCCAAGCAGUGGGGCUUUGGGGUAGUGCUGGGGUGGGUUGGGGUGGGUUGGGGGGGGGGGGGGGGGGGGGGGCAGCUUUCUCCUUUCCCUAUUUCCCCUGGAAUCACUUACAGAAAAAAAACAGGAAAAAGAAGAAGGAAACACAAAACUCAGAUGUUUACAAAGCACAUUUGCCACCGUUAACCCUCUGGAUGCCAAACAGACACGUCAAGAGCUGCUCCUCCCCAUGUGCCAUGGGAUGGAGGGGUGGCUGCACCAACGCCAUCAUCCUGCUUCCCUUGGGAUCAUUGACUCUGGUCGUAUCUUUUCCUUUGGUACACUCAGCCCUGCUUCCUCCAUCCACCUGCUGGCAGGAGCUUGCUUUUUGGGGGGGUGUUUGCUUCCUCUGCCCCCUUUCCAGCCUCUUCCUGCUCGGCUUUGGGAGCGGUGGGAAAGCACCUGUCUCCACUCGGGGAGGUUUUGGCUUGGUGGGAGGCGCUGGACCUGCUUCCUGCCUUCCCAGAUGCACUUUAAGGCCAAACUCCUCCUUUUUCUUAUCUAUGGGGCUGGUAGAGAGCAGGCAGAGGAUGCUCCUGUGGUCCUGGAGGGCUGCAGGACCUUCCCUAGGCUGUGUGGGCUCCGGUUCCUUUGCCUUUCCUGCUUGGAAAAGCCCCAUAGAAAUAGAAAUCCUUCUGGACACAUCUAAGUUGCCGUAAGUUACUCGAACCAUCCUUUUGGGCUUUCAGAGAUUGCACAUGUGCAAUCCCUGGAUCCUGGGGGAGCAUCUCCAGCUCUCCUGGGGGAGCAUCCCUGGAUCCCAUGGGGAGCAUCUCCACUUCUCCCAGGGGUGCAUCCCUGUCUCCCCUGGGGAGCUCAGACUUUUUACUCCCCUUUGCUAGGUUUGUAGAGUCUCUGAACCCUCAUAGAUCUCCCUUAGGUAGCUCUUGAUUUCAUUCCCUCCUAACUCCAUAGUGUUUUCCCUAAGGCUGGAUUUUCUUCUGGACCCACCAGGUCUCUGGUUGCUUGCAACAUCUUUUCCCACUUCUUUAGGAAGAACUUCUUGCCUGUGGAUAGAAAGACUAAGACCAUCCAACCUCAUUUCCAUUUCUUGAAUGUCCAGUAUUCCGAUCUAUAACACACAUUAGGGUGCUCUUUGGUGCUGUUUCAAUGGGAACCAGUGGAACUGCCUUUUUUUUCCCCCCAUAACAAUAAAGGAAUCUUUAGGACCGCUGGUUCCA
This is a long non-coding RNA of Pezoporus occidentalis (night parrot), 4428 nucleotides long. RefSeq lists it as uncharacterized. The transcript has 2 exons. The record is from RefSeq and is a predicted model, not a curated record. NCBI's taxonomy places the organism in Eukaryota, Metazoa, Chordata, Aves, Psittaciformes, Psittacidae.